UGAGACGUUACAUGAUCUAAGGUUUUGG
RNAcentral lists this non-coding RNA (28 nucleotides) under Mus musculus (house mouse). The record is from RNAcentral. Lineage: Eukaryota; Metazoa; Chordata; Mammalia; Rodentia; Muridae.